RNAcentral lists this ribosomal RNA (615 nucleotides) under uncultured archaeon. RNAcentral describes it as "bacterial SSU rRNA". It matches the Rfam family "Archaeal small subunit ribosomal RNA", at positions 383 to 999 of the family's 1478-position model. The record is from RNAcentral.
CAGUGCUUAAGUUAUACUUAGGCUUUUGCCAAGUGUAACAAGCUUGGCGAAUAAGGGGUGGGUAAGACUGGUGCCAGCCGCCGCGGUAACACCAGCGCCUCGAGUGGGGAUCGCGAUUAUUGGGUCUAAAGCGUCCGUAGCAGGCAUCGUAAAUGCUUUGUGAAAUCGGCAGGCAUAACCUGCCGGCGUGCAGAGUAGACUGCAGUGCUAGAGACCGGGAGAGGUUGGAAGUAUUCUUUGGGUACCGGUAAAAUGGGUUAAUCCAGAGAGGACUACCUAUGGCGAAGGCAUCCAACCAGAACGGUUCUGACUGUGAGGGACGAAAGCUAGGGGAGCAAAACGGAUUAGAUACCCGAGUAGUCCUAGCCGUAAACGCUGUGAGCAAGGUAUUGCGCCUCCCACGAGGAUGCGCAGUGUCGAAACGAAGGUGUUAAGCUCACCACCAGGGAAGUACGGUCGCAAGGCUGAAACUUUAAGGAAUUGGCGGGGGAGCGCCACAAGGGGUGCGGCGUGCGGUUCAAUCUAACUCAACGCAGAGAACCUCACUAGGCCCGACGGCAGAAUGAAGGUCAUGCUGAAGACAUUACCUGACAAGCCGAGAGGAAGUGCAUGGCC